CUAGUUUUUCAUUUCACCAGAUAGGGUUGUAUACAUUGGUCAGCCAAGUCUACUCCCCCCAUAAACUUGCUGUAGUCUGCAAUGCACUUCGGCUUUUCCAGAUGCUCAGUGCUACCUCUCACAGACACUGGCACUGUACUUUCGUCGUGCAUAGUAGACAGCAUGUAUACAUCUUUCCUAUCACUGAAGCGAAGAGCAAGCAACUCAUCCUGGUGGAGAGCUGAAGAGGAACCUCUACUGCUUCUGCCUCUUGCCAGGGCUUGGGGGAAACCCCUGC
Non-coding RNA from Pelobates cultripes (western spadefoot toad), 277 nucleotides. NCBI's taxonomy places the organism in Eukaryota, Metazoa, Chordata, Amphibia, Anura, Pelobatidae. The record is from the annotation of a GenBank genome assembly.